RNAcentral lists this ribosomal RNA (253 nucleotides) under uncultured bacterium. RNAcentral describes it as "partial 16S ribosomal RNA". It matches the Rfam family "Bacterial small subunit ribosomal RNA", at positions 524 to 776 of the family's 1533-position model. The record is from RNAcentral.
UACGGAGGGUGCAAGCGUUAUCCGGAUUCACUGGGUUUAAAGGGUGCGUAGGCGGGUUGGUAAGUCCGUGGUGAAAUCUCCGAGCUUAACUCGGAAACUGCCGUGGAUACUAUCAAUCUUGAAUAUCGUGGAGGUAAGCGGAAUAUGUCAUGUAGCGGUGAAAUGCUUAGAUAUGACAUAGAACACCAAUUGCGUAGGCAGCUUACUACACGAUCAUUGACGCUGAGGCACGAAAGCGUGGGGAUCAAACAGG